GCCUGGUGAAGCUGGGGGUUCACUGUGUCACCUGCCAGAAAGUGGCCAUCAAGAUUGUCAAUCGUGAGAAGCUCAGCGAGUCUGUGCUGAUGAAGGUGGAGCGAGAGAUUGCCAUCCUGAAGCUCAUCGAGCACCCCCACGUCCUCAAGCUGCACGACGUUUAUGAAAACAAAAAAUAUUUAUACUUGGUGCUAGAACACGUGUCAGGCGGGGAGCUCUUCGACUACCUGGUGAAGAAGGGGAGGCUGACCCCCAAGGAGGCCCGAAAGUUCUUCCGGCAGAUCAUCUCAGCGCUGGACUUCUGCCACAGCCACUCCAUAUGCCACAGGGAUCUGAAACCCGAAAACCUCCUGCUGGACGAGAAGAACAACAUCCGGAUCGCGGACUUCGGCAUGGCAUCCCUGCAGGUUGGCGACAGCCUGUUGGAGACCAGCUGCGGGUCCCCCCACUACGCCUGCCCCGAGGUGAUCCGGGGGGAGAAGUAUGACGGCCGGAAGGCGGACGUGUGGAGCUGCGGCGUCAUCCUUUUCGCCUUGCUGGUGGGGGCCCUGCCCUUCGAUGACGACAACCUACGGCAGCUGCUGGAGAAGGUGAAGCGGGGUGUGUUCCACAUGCCACACUUCAUCCCGCCUGACUGCCAGAGCCUGCUGCGGGGCAUGAUCGAGGUGGACGCCGCGCGCCGCCUGACGCUAGAGCACAUUCAGAAACACAUAUGGUAUAUAGGGGGCAAGAACGAACCGGAGCCAGAGCAGCCCAUUCCCCGCAAGGUCCAGAUCCGCUCGCUGCCCAGCCUGGAGGACAUCGACCCUGACGUGCUGGACAGCAUGCAUUCCCUGGGCUGCUUCCGAGACCGCAACAAACUGCUGCAGGACCUGCUGUCGGAGGAGGAGAACCAGGAGAAGAUGAUUUACUUCCUCCUACUGGACCGGAAAGAAAGGUACCCGAGCCAGGAGGAUGAGGACCUGCCCCCCCGGAAUGAGAUAGACCCUCCCCGGAAGCGUGUGGACUCUCCGAUGCUGAACCGCCAUGGCAAGCGGCGGCCGGAGCGCAAGUCCAUGGAGGUGCUCAGCGUGACGGACGGCGGCUCCCCGGUGCCUGCGCGGCGCGCCAUUGAGAUGGCCCAGCACAGCCAGAGGUCUCGGUCCAUCAGCGGUGCCUCCUCAGGCCUUUCCACCAGCCCACUCAGCAGCCCCCGGGUGACCCCUCACCCCUCACCGAGGGGCAGUCCCCUCCCCACCCCCAAGGGGACACCUGUCCACACGCCAAAGGAGAGCCCGGCUGGCACGCCCAACCCCACGCCACCAUCCAGCCCCAGCGUCGGAGGGGUGCCAUGGAGGGCGAGGCUCAAUUCCAUCAAGAACAGCUUCCUGGGCUCACCCCGCUUCCACCGCCGGAAACUGCAAGUUCCGACGCCGGAGGAGAUGUCCAACCUGACCCCAGAGUCAUCCCCAGAGCUGGCCAAGAAGUCCUGGUUUGGGAACUUCAUCAGCCUGGAGAAGGAGGAGCAGGUCUUCGUGGUCAUCAAAGACAAGCCUCUGAGCUCCAUCAAGGCUGACAUCGUGCACGCCUUCCUGUCGAUCCCCAGCCUCAGCCACAGUGUCAUCUCCCAGACGAGCUUCCGGGCUGAGUACAAGGCCACGGGGGGGCCCGCCGUGUUCCAGAAGCCGGUCAAGUUCCAGGUGGAUAUCACCUACACGGAGGGCGGGGAGGCGCAGAAGGAGAACGGCAUCUACUCCGUCACCUUCACCCUGCUUUCAGGCCCCAGCCGCCGCUUCAAGAGGGUGGUGGAGACCAUCCAGACCCAGCUGCUGAGCACACAUGACCCACCCUCCGCCCAGCACUUGUCAGAACCCCCCCCGCCAGCGCCAGGACUAAGCUGGGGCGCUGGGCUUAAGGGCCAGAAGGUGGCCACCAGCUACGAGAGUAGCCUCUGACGCUGGCAGACACCACUAACUGUAUGGAAAUGAUGACGGGGCGGCUUUCCAAAUGUGACGAGAAGAACGGGCAGGCGGCCCAGGCCCCCAGCACGCCCGCCAAGCGGAGUGCCCACGGCCCACUCGGUGACUCCGCGGCCGCUGGCCCUGGCCCCGGAGGGGACGCCGAGUACCCAACGGGCAAGGACACGGCCAAGACGGGCCCGCCCGCCGCCCGCCGCGAGCAGCCUUAGACACACUAGCCCCCCCCACCCAGCACAGCACUGACGGCGGCUGCCCUGCCGCCCGCCGCCCGCCCUGCCCCGAGUGGACCCGCGGCCGCCCGCCCGCCCGUCCAGACUGUUCUCAGAGCCUGGGAGGAAAGGAAAGGGGCGCCGGGGCCGGCCUGUGGGCUCCGCCACCCCCGCCCGCUCUCUUUUCUCUCUCCUGUCUCUGUCUCUGCCUGUCUCUGACGGCAUCACUUGUUUCCACUCUGAUACCAGGAAUUAUCCCGAAAAGUUAACAUGUCACCUCCACGAGGCCAUCCUCUGUGACCGAAGGCAGCUGCUGCGGACCCGCCCUCCCUCCGCUCCUGCUGUUGCUGCCGGGCAGCGAGGCCCAGCCCAGCGCCCCGUCCACCCCGAGGCAGCUCCUCGCCUCAGCUCCGCACGGCCCAUGGUAGGAGGGCCAGGCUCGGGGGAGCCUCCUCCAGCCCGGCCAGACUCCUGGUCACCCGGUCACCUGACCCCUCAGCAAGAACAGCCUGCCUGGAAGCCUUUUGGGGCCGGGACCCCCCGGCGGGCAAAGUAGCUGCAGGAACAGACCCGUCCGCCGCCUCCACGCCGCACUCGGAGGCCGCCUCACGCCUCCCUGGCUGCGCCGCCUCCUAUAGUCUUGGCCUCCCCGGGCUGCCUCCCGUCCUCCCGUCUCACCCAUGCCUCCGUCGCCUCCUCUGGGGCGGCCGUGGGCUCUGGCGCUCCUCCCUGGCUGAGGUGGAAACAGAGAGACCGUGGGGCGUCAGAGCCUUCCUGGCUGGCCAGGCCGCUGGGCUGGGAUCAGUGUUAUUUAUUUGCUGUUUUAAUUUAUGGAGUCUCUACACCUCUGUUCAGGGAAGGGCGGCAGCCGCAUCCCCUGCCGUCUGCGCGUCUCGGGCAGUGGGGGGGUCCAGGGCCCGGGCGCCCUCUGAGGACAAGAGCCGGCGGGGUGCGGGGGGCUGGCGAGCUACUGUAAACUUUAAAGAAUUCCUGCAAGAUAUUUUUAUAAACUUUUUUUUCUUGGUGGUUUUUGGAAAAGGGUGUGGGGGUGGGGCGCCGCAGGGGCAGGGCCAGGGCAGGGCAGGGCCAGGUUUUGUUUCAGCCCGGGCUCCCAGUUUUUGCACACUCAUCUAGCUAAAGAUGGCGCGGUUCGAUCUGUCCUGGGUUCUGCUUCUCACCGUGGAGAGGCGGCUCCACCUCGGGGGGGCUCAGGGCAUCUCACGGCGGGCAGCAGUGCCCAUGCCCUUGUCAAGACCCAGGCUGGGACAGUCUCGGCUUUGUGUCCAAGGGUGAGGGAGUAGGAGAAAGGCCCUCGAGGGCCCUCCCCACGCACAGGGCAGCAGGGGCGCCGGGGGCUUUUCUUAUUAAAACAAAAAAAGUUGAAAGCAACCGAAGGACAGAAAGAGCCAGUGGCGCUCCUCUGCAGGGUGUUCUGUGCAGUGCAGGGGGGUGGGGGCUGCAGGCCCAUCCCACUUGGUGCCUGCCACCCUCGCUUCACCCCAGCUCAGGCUUCUGUGUUCCCGUGUGCCCGGCUCCCCAGGUGGGCACAGUGCCCGGGUGCAGCGGCUGGGAGGGCGGUGGCGUUCUGAUGCAUGCCUUUGCCACAGGGUCCAUCUGCUUCGGUGCCCCUGCCUCGCACCCACCUCGUGUAUCAAUUUUAAUGCUUCUGUUAACAUCAGACCUCUGCCACAGGCUGGGAUUUCUACACAUAAGAACAAAGUCAUAUAGGACAGCAAACGCCAGGCGGCACAGGCGGAAAGGGCUCUCCACGGAGACAAGGACACGAAGCAGAGCCUCUCGCCCGCCUUCUGCUUCUGUGCUUCGGACACAUGCGGACUCCAGCAGGCACCACGGAAACGGGCACGCGCCUGCAGUGUACCCCUGUCACAUACUGUGAGCAGCCACAGCUCCGGAACAAUAAAUCCCUUCCGCAAAGACA
Cebus imitator (Panamanian white-faced capuchin) is the source of this 4106-nucleotide RNA transcript. It is a transcript of the gene named BR serine/threonine kinase 2, with no coding region annotated. The transcript has 20 exons. The record is from RefSeq and is a predicted model, not a curated record. Lineage: Eukaryota; Metazoa; Chordata; Mammalia; Primates; Cebidae.